CUACGUAGGGGGCGAGCGUUGUCCGGAAUGAUUGGGCGUAAAGGGCGCGUAGGCGGCUUUGCAAGUCAGUAGUGGAAGUCCAUUUUUCAAGGAUGGAAGUGCUACAGAAACUGCGAAGCUUGAGUGCAGGAGAGGUUAUCGGAAUUCCCGGUGUAGCGGUGAAAUGCGUAGAGAUCGGGAGGAACACCAGUGGCGAAGGCGGGUAACUGGACUGCAACUGACGCUGAGGCGCGAAAGUGUGGGGAGCAAACAGGAUUAGAUACCCUGGUAGUCCACGCUGUAAACGAUGAAUACUAGGUGUCGGGGAGCGACAAGCUGUUCGGUGCCGCAGCAAACGCAAUAAGUAUUCCACCUGGGGAGUACGUUCGCAAGAAUGAAACUCAAAGGAAUUGACGGGG
RNAcentral lists this ribosomal RNA (398 nucleotides) under uncultured bacterium. RNAcentral describes it as "partial 16S ribosomal RNA". It matches the Rfam family "Bacterial small subunit ribosomal RNA", at positions 523 to 918 of the family's 1533-position model. The record is from RNAcentral.